GCUUGGAUGGCCGAGUGGUCUAAGGCGCCCGACUCAAGGAAAGAGCUUUCGGGUCUCGUGAGAGGCGUGGGUUCAAAUCCCACUCCAAGCA
RNAcentral lists this transfer RNA (91 nucleotides) under Coemansia sp. S155-1. RNAcentral describes it as "tRNA-Leu". It matches the Rfam family "tRNA". From Rfam's summary of the family: Transfer RNA (tRNA) molecules are approximately 80 nucleotides in length. The record is from RNAcentral. Lineage: Eukaryota; Fungi; Kickxellomycota; Kickxellomycetes; Kickxellales; Kickxellaceae. RNAcentral also lists the same sequence under 9 other names.